RNAcentral lists this ribosomal RNA (23 nucleotides) under Lepra amara. Its description in RNAcentral is "partial 28S ribosomal RNA". Lineage: Eukaryota; Fungi; Ascomycota; Lecanoromycetes; Pertusariales; Pertusariaceae. The record is from RNAcentral.
GACCUCGGAUCAGGAGGAACCCG